ACACUUGGAUAAGCCUAGGCUACUUUCUUGGCCUCACUUUCUCUCACUUGCCGAGAAAGAAGAAAAAAAAAUCAAAGAAAAAGAAAACAAGAACAAAUGCAAACAUCUCCACUUCUCUCUCUACAUUAGCAUAUACAUUUACACAAUUUAAAUGGCUUCUGUUACGUCAGUGGCGUUUACAGCACUCGGUCAAUUGUCGUAUGAGAGGAAGGUCAAUGUUCCACCGACUCGGUCUUUAGCUUCGAAUUUCGAAGGUUUUCGUUUCCGUUCGAGUGUAUUAUGGCACUGUACCGGUGUUAGAGCUUCGAAUUCAGCUUCUCGUAUGGUUAUUCAAUGCAUGUGUGCUGCUACCGGUGUGCCAACCGUGUCUGAGACAAAGUUGAAUUUUCUAAAAGCAUAUAAAAAACCAAUACCCAGCAUCUAUAACACAGUUCUACAGGAACUGAUUGUCCAACAACAUUUGAUGAGGUACAAAAGGACAUACUGUUAUGAUGCCAUGUUUGCCCUUGGUUUUGUUACUGUUUAUGAUCGACUCAUGGAAGGAUACCCAAGUGAUGAGGAUCGAGAAAUCAUCUUCCAGGCAUAUAUAAAGGCGUUGAAUGAGGACCCAGAACAAUACAGAAUUGAUGCUCAAAAGUUGGAGGAAUGGGCCCGGGCUCAAAAUGCAAGUUCAUUAGUUGAGUUCUCAUCUAGAGAAGGAGAGAUUGAGCGGAUAUUGAAGGACAUUGCUGAAAGGGCAAGUAAUGGGAGUUUCAGCUAUAGCCGUUUCUUUGCCAUUGGUAUGUUUCGCCUUCUUGAGCUGGCAAAUGCAACUGAACCCACUGUAUUGGAAAAGAAAAUGGAAGUUUCUCACAGAUGGUUGCCAUGCAUCAGCUGUGCACAGCUUUAAACAUCAACAAAAGAAGUGUGGAUCGGGACCUUGACGUGUAUCGCAAUCUGCUAUCCAAGCUCCUUCAAGCAAAAGAAUUGCUCAAGGAGUAUGUAGAGAGGGAGAAAAAGAAGAGAGAUGAAAGGGCUGAAUCACAAAAGGCUAACGAGGCCAUCACGAAAUGUGUGGGAGAAUACCAAUAUGUGUGCCAGUAAUUUAACUCCUGUAGCAGUCCGCAAUGCUAAAUAGUCUGUUCUGCCUUAGUCCCCUUUUUGUUUUGCUUUGGAGCCUCCGUGGUCAUGCGCACCUUGUUUUAGUUUAUUGUUUUACUAUGGUGAUAAGAUACAUCCUGUCUUCGUCUUGCUACUAUUAUAUGGAAACUUAUUUUGCUUUUCGCCAAA
Mangifera indica (mango) is the source of this 1269-nucleotide RNA transcript. It is a transcript of the gene named protein THYLAKOID FORMATION1, chloroplastic-like, with no coding region annotated. The record is from RefSeq and is a predicted model, not a curated record. The transcript is spliced from 5 exons. NCBI's taxonomy places the organism in Eukaryota, Viridiplantae, Streptophyta, Magnoliopsida, Sapindales, Anacardiaceae.